Pteronotus mesoamericanus is the source of this 104-nucleotide small nuclear RNA. The record is from RefSeq and is a predicted model, not a curated record. Lineage: Eukaryota; Metazoa; Chordata; Mammalia; Chiroptera; Mormoopidae.
GCCUGCUUCGGCAACACAUCCCCAGAAACUGGGACAACACGGAGAAGACUAGCAUGGCCUCUGCGCAAGGGUGACAAGAGACUUCCGAAACGGUCCAUGUUUUU